AUGACAAACACAAAGAGGUGAGGCACGCAACCCGUGUUCUCUAGGCCUUUUAGAAAACAUGGAGUUGUUCCUUUGGCCACAUAUAUGCCAAUCUGCGAGAAAGGUGAUAUUGUAGACAUAAGGGAAUGUGUACUGUUCAAAAAGGAAUGUCCCACAAAUGUUAUCACGGAGAGACUGGAAGAGUCUACAGUGUUCCACAGCAUGCUGUUGGCAUUGUUGUAAACAAACAAGUUGAGGGCAAGAUUCUUGCCAAGAGAAUUAAUGUGGGUAUUUAUUGAGCACAGCCACCAUAGCAUUAUUAAGCACAGCCGCCAUAGCUUCCUGAAACAUGUGACGGAAAAUGAUCAGAAAAAGAAGGAAGCCAAUGAGGAAGGCACUUGGGUUCAACUGAGGUGCCAGCCUGCUUCACCCGGAGAAGUGCACUGUGUGAGAGCCAACAGGAAACAGCCUGAGCUGCUGGACUCUCUUCCCUAUGAUGAAUUCA
Molecule: long non-coding RNA, 484 nt
Filed under: Homo sapiens (human)
Lineage: Eukaryota; Metazoa; Chordata; Mammalia; Primates; Hominidae
Description: non-protein coding lnc-REL-2:1
Source: RNAcentral